Molecule: ribosomal RNA, 549 nt
Filed under: Conus frigidus
Lineage: Eukaryota; Metazoa; Mollusca; Gastropoda; Neogastropoda; Conidae
Description: partial 12S ribosomal RNA
Source: RNAcentral
AAACCAAGAAAUUUAGUCAUUCUUUUACGGUAAAAAGACAGUUAAGCAGGAUCUAUAUAGAUCAUUAGACCUUCAGUACAGGAGUAAAAUCUAGAUACUGAAAGUUAUACCUAAGAUGGAUGUUUAUGGUGCUGAGUCUGUGAUAGCUUUAAGGGAAACUGGGAUUGGAUACCCCACUAUUUUUAGUUGUAAAUAUAGUUUGAGCUUACCAGAGUACUACGAAUAAAAAGUUUAAAACUCAAAGGGCUUGGCGGUGUUUUAGACCCCUCAGGGGAACCUGUCUCGUAAUCGACAAUCCACGUUAGACCUAACCUUCUGUGGUAAGUCAGCCUGUAUACCGUCGUCGUCAGGUAACUUCUAAAAAUAUAGUAGUUAGCUCGAGAAUUUUUAAUUAAUACGUCAGAUCAAGGUGCAGCUAAUAAGAGGGUGAGGAUGGGUUACAAUUACAAAUUCGUAAUUACGGAAGGAGACUUGAAAUUAAGUGUCCUAAAGGAGGACUUGAAAGUAAUUUUGGUUAUAUAAACAGAAUGAAUAGGGCUCUGAAACGUG